UACGUAGGGUGCGAGCGUUAAUCGGAAUUACUGGGCGUAAAGCGUGCGCAGGCGGUUUUGUAAGCCGGAUGUGAAAUCCCCGGGCUCAACCUGGGAAUUGCUUUUGAAACUGCCGAGCUAGAGUGCGGAAGGGGCAACUGGAAUUCCCAGUGUAGCGGUGAAAUGCGUAGAUAUUGGGAAGAACACCUGAGGCGAAGGCGGGUUGCUGGGCCGACACUGACGCUGAUGCGCGAAAGCCAGGGGAGCGAACGGG
This 253-nucleotide ribosomal RNA is filed under the name uncultured bacterium. RNAcentral's name for it is "partial 16S ribosomal RNA". It matches the Rfam family "Bacterial small subunit ribosomal RNA", at positions 524 to 776 of the family's 1533-position model. The record is from RNAcentral.